UACGAAGGGAGCUAGCGUUGUUCGGAAUCACUGGGCGUAAAGCGCACGUAGGCGGAUGUGUCAGUCAGGGGAGAAAUCCCGGAGCUCAACUUCGGAACUGCCUUUGAUACAGCACGUCUUGAGUCCGGAAGAGGUGGGUGGAAUUCCUAGUGUAGAGGUGAAAUUCGUAGAUAUUAGGAAGAACACCGGUGGCGAAGGCGGCCCACUGGUCCGGUACUGACGCUGAGGUGCGAAAGCGUGGGGAGCAAACAGG
RNAcentral lists this ribosomal RNA (253 nucleotides) under uncultured bacterium. RNAcentral's name for it is "partial 16S ribosomal RNA". It matches the Rfam family "Bacterial small subunit ribosomal RNA", at positions 524 to 776 of the family's 1533-position model. The record is from RNAcentral.